CAAGUCUUCUUCUAUCGGGGUAGGCUCUUCGAGUUUCUCGAGAUAGAUUCGUUUGGAAUUUGUUCAUAUCGAACACCUGAAAGUUAGAACAGUAAAUGUAAGAUUGUUUGCUGAUGCUUCGUUCUCUGGAAUUAUAUUUCAGGAGUCACACCUGCUUGUUUGGAAAGUGUUGACUUAGAGGGACAUAAGUAAAAUCCAAAAAAAUAGUGCAUAAGCAGAAGCGGAGUUGUAAAACACUUACUUUCCCUGGCUUCUCGUGUUCCAACGCUCCUUGAGAAUUCCGUGCGAUUUCCGCUCCAAUUGCGUUGUCUUCCUGACUCGUUGGCUUUAUCCUCCUCCGUCUUCACGUCCCUCAUCGGAUUCUCGAAGCCGCACAGACCUAUCCUGAAUUUUGCGAGGCGGCAACGAUUAAACAACGAAGAACAUGGUUUCGCCUAUUGGAUUCUGGGUGUAAUAAAUGAGUCUUUUUAAUAAGUUUGCUGUUUACUGUUCAAGGGACGGACGUUAAGACACGUUUACUGUUCAAGGGACGCACGAGAACUAAACUGAAAACUCAGGCCUACGAGGAAGAGAAAUCUAGCGUCCACUUAAAGAAAGAAAAUUCUGCCUGCGCUCUGUUUAUUACCCUGGCCUUCGAUGACAAACAGACAAGGGUCUUCAGACCUGGUGGUGCCAGUCCGAUACUCUAACAGACUCUAACUUACAGAGAAAAGGGCAGUGUCUCUCAAUGCUAGAUUCAUCUUUGUUGUCAAAUUAUAUGUAUAUAAUUCAACAUCGCCUAAUAGAAGUUUCAGAGGUGAAAAUCAUUU
Molecule: long non-coding RNA, 809 nt
Organism: Hylaeus volcanicus
Lineage: Eukaryota; Metazoa; Arthropoda; Insecta; Hymenoptera; Colletidae
Exons: 3
Source: RefSeq, a predicted model, not a curated record